Molecule: ribosomal RNA, 439 nt
Filed under: uncultured bacterium
Lineage: Bacteria
Description: partial 16S ribosomal RNA
Rfam family: Bacterial small subunit ribosomal RNA
Source: RNAcentral
CCUCGGGCGGCUCCAGUGAGGAAUAUUGCACAAUGGGGGGAACCCUGAUGCAGCAACGCCGCGUGGAGGAUGACGCAUUUCGGUGUGUAAACUCCUUUUAUAUGUCAAGAAAAUGACGGUAGCAUAUGAAUAAGCGCCGGCUAACUCCGUGCCAGCAGCCGCGGUAAUACGGAGGGCGCAAGCGUUACUCGGAAUCACUGGGCGUAAAGGACGCGUAGGCGGGUUGAAAAGUCAGGUGUGAAAGCCUACAGCUUAACUGUAGAACUGCACUUGAAACUCUCAAUCUAGAGUAUGGGAGGGGCAGAUGGAAUUAGUGGUGUAGGGGUAAAAUCCGUAGAUAUCACUAGGAAUACCUAAAGCGAAGGCGAUCUGCUGGAACAUUACUGACGCUAAGGCGUGAAAGCGUGGGGAGCAAACAGGAUUAGAUACCCUCGUAGUC